CACACACUGCCCGUCGCUUCAUCGAAGUUGGUUUUAGGCGAGGUGGUGCGAUAUUGGCAUUAUCGAACCUGAGAUCAGCAACGAGGGAG
RNAcentral lists this ribosomal RNA (89 nucleotides) under uncultured bacterium. Its description in RNAcentral is "partial 16S ribosomal RNA". The record is from RNAcentral.